RNAcentral lists this ribosomal RNA (257 nucleotides) under uncultured Glomus. Its description in RNAcentral is "partial 18S ribosomal RNA". It matches the Rfam family "Eukaryotic small subunit ribosomal RNA", at positions 624 to 886 of the family's 1831-position model. The record is from RNAcentral. Lineage: Eukaryota; Fungi; Glomeromycota; Glomeromycetes; Glomerales; Glomeraceae.
AAGCUCGUAGUUGAAUUUCGGGAUUAGUGCGUUGGUCGUGCCUUAGGUACGUACUGGUGUUACUGGUUCCUACCUUCUGACGAACCAUCAUGUCAUUAAUUUGGUGUGGUGGGGAAUCAGGACUGUUACUUUGAAAAAAUUAGAGUGUUUAAAGCAGGCUCGCGCUUGAAUACAUUAGCAUGGAAUAAUGAAAUAGGACGUUGAUCCUAUUUUGUUGGUUUCUAGGAUUGACGUAAUGAUUAAUAGGGAUAGUUGGG